CCUACGGGUGGCUGCAGUAGGGAAUAUUGGGCAAUGGAGGCAACUCUGACCCAGCCAUGCCGCGUGCAGGAUGAAGGCCCUCUGGGUUGUAAACUGCUUUUAUCUGGGAAGAAACCUUUGGAUUCAUCUGAAGCUGACGGUACCAGAGGAAUAAGCACCGGCUAACUCCGUGCCAGCAGCCGCGGUAAUACGGAGGGUGCAAGCGUUAUCCGGAUUUACUGGGUUUAAAGGGUGCGCAGGCGGACUGUUAAGUCAGUGGUGAAAGCCCCGGGCUC
This 275-nucleotide ribosomal RNA is filed under the name uncultured bacterium. RNAcentral describes it as "partial 16S ribosomal RNA". It matches the Rfam family "Bacterial small subunit ribosomal RNA", at positions 338 to 610 of the family's 1533-position model. The record is from RNAcentral.